CUCAAAUAUGUUUACUUUAUUUUUGUUUGUUAAAAUUUUAAUUGGUAAAUACUUCUAAGGGUCGAUUGAACAAAAGGAAAACUUGAGAGGUUUAUUUGAGGGUUGGGUAAAAUUAAUAGGGUAAAAGAACCUACUGGAAGAUUCUAGAAUAAAGGCAGCUGGCCUCAUUUGGUUAGCAGAUAAUGCUGAAACCAAUGAAGGACAACCAGUUGUCUAAGUUGGUUAAAAACGAUGCUUGAAGGCUAAAGGAAUAAUUCUAUUAUUAUCUUCAACACAUGUCACUCCUUAAAGGCUAUAUAUAGACACUUUCUUUCACACACAAAUGAGAUUUUGGACCCUAAAAAAGAACCAAAAAGCUUCUAUAUUGCUUGAUUAAGAAAUUAGCAAGACCAUUUCUAAUUUUCUAUUUUAGUAAGAGUCUAGAAGAAUCUCUGCGGGAUUUCUGGUUUCUGGGUUUAAACAUGGUCUAAGGAAGCUAAAUAUUGUUAUUGAUUUGCUGCUUUGCUUAUACUUCUGCUCUUGCUGAGAUCCUCACUCCAUUUUUACUUUGUUUUUAUAUCCAGGUACUUCUUGGACCAUGAAGAAUAUGUGAAGUGCAAGCAUAGUUUCCAGUUGAAAUAUAUAGCUGAAAAUGUGAAGAUCUAAUGCUAAAUAUUGCCAUAUGCACCAGCUUCUUCCAAGUUUAUCUCGCCUCUUUAUUAGUUUUAGCUUUCUGCAGCUCUUAUGUAGUUUGUUCUGGGGUUUGUUUAAUGGCCACUCGCUGAAUGGGAAAUGUUAUACGUGAAGGUUUAGUUUAAUUCAUUGUUAUGAAACAUUCAAAAUUUCAAAUUAGUAUAUAAGGUUCUGGUAACCUAUGUGUGAAAAAGAUGUAAGAUCAUGAAUCAUGCAUGCUUAAAAGGAUAGUAUUUAACAUGUAUAUUUUCAGAACUUCAGCCUUAAUAGAAUAAUUAUAUGUAAUAGUAUGAUUAAUAAGUAGUUUUUCUAGGCUCAUGUUGUUAGUAUUAAUAGUAACACAAUAUUUUAAAGGUUUACAAUGUGGUUGCUUCGAUUUUGUGAUUUUCAGAACUCGUAUGUUGUGUUGUUUGUGUGUGAAUUAUAGCUAGUUGGGCCUCAUUAGGGCCUUAGUGUUGGAAGUAUCUUUGCCAAAAUGUGUAGAAUUCGGGGCUAGACCAAAUGGGGACACAUGGAUCGUGUCUAAGUUCGCUUGGUUUUAGUUGUUUCUAUUCCUUUAUUUGGGCUCAAUCUCGAGCCCAACCUUCGUCAGCUCUUAUUUUCCCAAAAUAUCUUAUCUUGAGUAGUGCAUUGGGUCUGUUGUUGGCCCAAGAUUAUUCAAU
This 1334-nucleotide long non-coding RNA is filed under the name Nicotiana benthamiana. RNAcentral describes it as "long non-coding RNA (NBEN_LNC038867)". Lineage: Eukaryota; Viridiplantae; Streptophyta; Magnoliopsida; Solanales; Solanaceae. The record is from RNAcentral.